AACGAACGCUGGCGGCAUGCCUAGCACAUGCAAGUCGAACGAAGUCUUCGGACUUAGUGGCGCACGGGUGCGUAACGCGUGGGAAUCUGCCCUUGGGUGCGGAAUAACUUCUCGAAAGGGAUGCUAAUACCGCAUAAUGUCGUAAGACCAAAGAUUUAUCGCCCAAGGAUGAGCCCGCGUAAGAUUAGCUAGUUGGUGGGUAAAAGCCUACCAAGGCGACGAUCUUUAGCUGGUCUGAGAGGAUGAUCAGCCACACUGGGACUGAGACACGGCCCAGACUCCUACGGGAGGCAGCAGUGGGGAAUAUUGGACAAUGGGCGAAAGCCUGAUCCAGCAAUGCCGCGUGAGUGAUGAAGGCCCUAGGGUUGUAAAGCUCUUUUACCAGGGAUGAUAAUGACAGUACCUGGAGAAUAAGCUCCGGCUAACUCCGUGCCAGCAGCCGCGGUAAU
This 449-nucleotide ribosomal RNA is filed under the name uncultured bacterium. RNAcentral's name for it is "bacterial SSU rRNA". It matches the Rfam family "Bacterial small subunit ribosomal RNA", at positions 29 to 524 of the family's 1533-position model. The record is from RNAcentral.